This 8172-nucleotide long non-coding RNA is filed under the name Zea mays. RNAcentral's name for it is "long non-coding RNA (ZMAY_LNC004784)". The record is from RNAcentral. Lineage: Eukaryota; Viridiplantae; Streptophyta; Magnoliopsida; Poales; Poaceae.
CGACGUCGUCAGUCGGACGAACCUGAAUAUGGAUAAUGUGAUGAAUGCCAAGACAAAGGAUGGUCAUCAAGUGGACAUCGUCUAACAAACACUAACUUAGUGUUACCCAGGCAAGCCCCGGUGCAUUUGCCCCUUCCUUGUGUUUUAAAUGCUUUUUCACCUUAUCUGAUGCAUUAGGUGAUAGGAGUUGUGUGAUAAACAAUUGAUGCAUUACCAUUCCUUGGAAACUCCUUAAUCCUGGUUUUAUAAAAAGAACUGAUAAUGCUUAGCCCUGCUUAGAAACUGAAAAAUCAUUUGUUUUCAAAAAGAAUGAUUGUGGAACAUUGGUUAUGGGCCUUUCGUUUCAAAAAUCAAAGCAAACUUAUGGUGAUGAUUCCACUUCGACCGGAGUGGGUUCAUCAUUUGGAAAAGAGUACCCCUGUCGGGUACCAAAAAUGGGAAAAUGGUUUGAAUACAUCUAGACCAGACGCUGAGCUGACGUGGUCGCCCGUCUGUGUCGAUUAAGGACCGUUCGAUGUAGGCCUGUUGUGGUGGAAACCUUGCAACUAGCCACAUGCUCCGGUAAGCCUGAACCUGGCUAUUCCAUACGUGAAAAGACAACCGCGCACUGGGCGUGGGAGAUGGUGGGAGUAGCGUGUACCCUCCUGGCUAGAGGCUGGAUGGAGGAGUACUGUGCUCCCGGGUAGCGCGGACCGGUUCACGUUGUGGAGGAUCUAUGGGAACGGUUGACAUAUGCAAGGAUUAAGUGCUACAUAUGUCGUGUGGUUAGGGAUCCCCAGCUGGGUAUAAUCGGUUCGAAUCGUCGUUGCUCCUCGGUCAUGGAGACUCUACCCUCCGACCACUCAUCGUAGUUGACAAGUGAAAUAUGAAUUGGCUAAAAGAAAGCUAGACCAGGACAAGUGGAUGCUCUAGAUUAGGCAAAUCUAGAUUCAGGAAAAAAUACUAAACUUGUGAAGUAAAAUUUUGGCAUAAGGAUUUACUACUAGUAAGCUCUUCUGCAAAACAGAGUCUUUGAUUCUUGAUAAGCCAUACCUUGAAUCCCUCUAGCCAGCAUACCCUUGAGAGUCUUUUCUUUAGUCGGGUAAGUCUUGCUGAGUAAUUCCAUACUCAGGGUUUUAUUCCCUGUUGUUUUUCAGGUUAUAGUUUUGUGCUGCUGUUGAUGGUGUUAAGUGCCGGUGGGCUCGACCUUCUUAUAAGUCUAAGUAAUUCUUCUAUACUUCUUAUUGAGGAUGGUCACAUGAGCUAGCAUAUAUUUCAAACUUACAAAUAAUUUAUAAUAUCUCAAAGUUAUUCCUUUGAACCACUUUUGUAAUCACUCCGAUAAAUACAAUGUAAACUUGUUGUAACUUGUAAAAUUUGGUAAUAAGAUUUUCUGCUGCAAAAUGUUGGUGUGUGAUUUGUGUUUACUUAAUCUUGCGAUCCUGGUUGUAAGUGGUUUAUUCGGGGUCCUUGGGACACUCGGACGGAUCCUGUUAAGUUAUCUGGUGCACAUGCAUAGCUGUCUGAGGUCUUUGAGACAAGGACAGGUGCAUGUGGGCCCAAUAACUUGGGAGGUUCUGCCACACCUUUGGCACUGGACUAGGUUGUGUCUUGAUGCAAGACAACUGAGUCAUUGCUUAUGCAUCGAGAGCACUCAGGCCUCAUGAGCAGAAUUAUCCCACUCAUGACCUGGAGUUGGCAGCCGUGGUUCAUGCAUUGAAAAUAUGGAGACACUACUUGAUGGGAACCCACUGCAACAUCUUCACUGUUCAUAAGAGCCUUAAGUAUAUCUUUACUCAGGCUGAUCUCAACAUGAGACAGAGAAGAUGGCUAGAGCUGAUCAAGGAUUAUGACCUGGAGGUACAUUAUCACCCAGGAAAAGCCAAUGUGGUAGCAGAUGCCUUGAGUCGGAAAUUGCAAUGCAACUGUGUUAUGAUGGAUUCUCGCAUUAACACCUUGUGUGAUGAGUUCAGCAAAAUGAAGAUUGAAGUGAUUCCUUCUGGUGCUUUGUCUCACAUUUCCGUUGAGCCAGCUUUGCAAGACCAGAUCAUCAUGGCCUAGCUCAGUGACAAGGGAGUGCGAAUUAUUAAGGAGAACCUCCAUCAGAAGACCGAGAAGUAUAAAUGUUUCCGCCAAGAUGGAAAGGGCAUAUUGUGGUUUGAAAGCAGAUUGGUAGUUCCUAAAAAUAAGGAUCUCAAGAAAAUCUUGGAUGAGGCCCAUCUCUCCAAAUUCUCCAUGCAUCCAGGGAGCACCAAAAUGUACCAUGAUCUGAAGCCCUUGUAUUGGUGGACCAGAAUAAAGAGGGAGAUAGCCCAAUAUGUAUCAGAAUGUGACACAUGUCAGAGGGUAAAGGCAAGCCACUUGAAAUCAGCUGGAGCUUUGCAACCCCUAUCUAUACCUUCAUGGAAAUGGGAUGACAUCAGCAUGGAUUUCAUUGUGGGUCUGCCCAACACCUCCCAUCAUCAUGAUUCGAUUUGGGUUAUUGUGGACUGACUGACGAAAGUGGCACAUUUUCUCCCAGUGCACACCACUGACAAGGCUCAAAAGUAUGCAGAGUUGUACAUCGAUCGAAUCGUGUGUUUGCACGGAUUGCCCCGGACCAUUGUAUCUGACCGAGGAGCCCCAUUUGUUGCCAGAUUUUGGGAACAACUGCAAGAGUCUUUGGGAACCAAGCUAAUCAGAAGUUCAGCUUACCACCCACAGACUGAUGGUCAGACCGAGAGGGUAAAUCAAAUUCUUGAAGAUAUGCUAAGAGCUUGUGUGAUCGAUUGUGGCAAGAAAUGGGAUAAGCACCUCUCCUUGGCAGAGUUUGCUUAUAACAACAGUUAUCAAUCCAGCCUAAGGAUGGCACCCUUCGAAGCUCUCUAUGGAAGAAGGUGUAGAACACCCCUCAAUUGGUCUCAGCCUGGAGAAAGAGAAGUUUUUGGACCUGACUUAGUGACUGAUGCCAAAAGGAAGGUCAAACUAAUCAUGAAAAAUCUAGAAGCUGCUCAGGCCAGGCAGAAGUGUUACCAUGAUAAGAGAAGGAAACCUCUCCAGUUUGAAGUGGGAGAUUUCGUAUAUUUGAAGGUAUCACCCACCAAAGGAGUGCAAAGCUUUGGGAUCAAAGGCAAGUUAGCCCCUCGUUACAUUGGACCUUAUGGGAUCAUAGAAGCAUGUGGGCCCGUGGCAUACAAAUUGAAGUUACCUCCAAAAAUGUCUGUCGUCCACAAUGUGUUCCAUAUAUCUCAACUGAAGAAGUGUGUUCGAUUGCCGACUGAGAUCAUAGCAGAACCAGAAUUGGAGAUAGAGCCAGAUCUAUCGUACCAAGAGUACCCUUCCAAGGUUCUGGAUUGCAAAGAAAGAUCAACUCGGGCUAAAUCGAUCAAGAUGUAUAAGGUCCAGUGGAGUAAUCACUCAGAGGAAGAGGCUACUUGGGAGACUGAGGAAUUCCAGCGUUCCAACUUCCCCGAUUGCCUACCUAAGGAAAUUGGUACGUAAUCAUGCCCAACCCCUCCUCCUGCCCUUCGAAUCUAAAUUUCAGAAAAAUGAUCUUAAUAUAAAGAGAGUUAAUUAUAAGACAAGAAAUAAAAGGACUUCCUUCUGAAGUUGCAAAGAGAAUGACAUUCGAAGAGCAAUUGCCCUAAUAAAAUAAAGCUUCCACUUCAAGUAAGUCUCACCCUUCGCUUCACCCCGGGAGGACUCUGACCCAAAUCUCGGGACGAGAUUCCUUUAAGGGGGGAAGGUUGUGACACCCCAGUGUCACCUAGGGUUUCUUCCUUAAGCUAACCCAAACCAUUAUCACAUGUAAACCAAAUGAAGGGAUGAACAUCAAAAAUUAAUAACAAAGGUUUAAAGUGAGUCUUUUUCAUCUUAAGAAACUCUCCUUAAUCAUGUCAUGAACCUCAAGGUAAGAAGAACUCUCAAACCCUAAUUAAUCUUAAGAGGACCAUUUAAGCACAUAAAGGGCAUUUGGGAAAAGACUUGGGAGAAAAAUACAAAUUUUGGUAAAAACCAAAUAACAAAGUUUUAGUUCACUAAUUAACCAAAAAAGUGUAGUAAGAAAGUUUUGCCAUUUGAAUUUUUCAAAAUCCCUAAAUCAGCCCCUGAACUAAUGCAAUUGGGAAAAAUCCAGAAAUCCAGAAAUCUGAAUUUCAGCCCCUUUCCAAAGAUCAACCGCAUUCUCUGUUUUUCAAAACUUGAAUCAAACAAGUCCAAAUAGCAAAGUGGCACCAAAUUCCCUAGAACACACUGUGGCAAAGUUUGGAAACCUCUCUCCACCGUUUGACACGAUCUUGACAUGGAUUUACCUCGGGACUCAACCUUGUGAUACUGCCACCUUAGCGACGUGACAACUCUCUGUACACAGCCCCAAACCGCUCAACUUCCACACAUAAACGACAAAGCUCUGUCGGGAGAGCAAAUUUUGUGCAGUGAUCAUGCCCAAAUACGCGAAGAUCUCCAACCUAUGGGCAUUUGAACUCGGGCAGAAGCAAAGAGCCACGUGCUCGACGCCGUGUAAGGCCGGCCGAGCGCGGACUGGCUGCGGCAACGCGCGCCCCGCGCGUGGUCGCCUUGCCCCGCGCGUUUGCACCUCACCCUCGCCUAUAAGUGCCUCUAGAGGCCUUAGCCGUUGGCACUCGCACACCCAGAGCCCCGCCCGAGCCAGAGAUCAUCGGAGCUCGCCGUGGAAAGCAAGCACCACCGCCCGCCAUCUCCACCCGAGCUCGGCCGUCGUGGCCAGCCCCUUCUGUUGACCCCUGGCCUCGCCCCAGCCCCUGGACCGCUUCCCCGUGAAGCCGUGAAGGUCCUCCAAGCUUGAGUCGAGGCAUUGCCUCACCGGAGAGGCGGAUUCACCCUCGCCGGACUUCGGUCGCCUGCCGCCACGUGUGGGCAGAGAAAUCCGGUGAGCCAUUCUCCAAUUCCUUGCACCAUUGUCCUUCUUGACCUCUAGCGAAGCUCUCUGACCGGUUCACUUGGACAAUCGCGCCGUGAGCAGGCCGGAUUCCUCGCCGCCGACGAGCAUCUCCGCCUGCGCACGUGGACCGGCCGACUCCGACCAUCCCUGAUGGCGACCCGCACUUCGCCGUGACCCUCGGGGCCUCCCCUACAUCCUCGACCACCUCACCGGAGUAGUCUCGCCGCCGGUAAGCCCCUCCGCCCCUUUCUUCCUCCACGGCCACUGUUCCCUUAGGGAAGGACCGCGGGUUCGAUUUUGCAAAACCCUAGGGGGUUUUCUGCAGAGCCGUAGACUCAAGUGAAUAGUGCACCGAGGACCUGUCUGUAAUUCAUUUAAAAUGUUUCGCCAGGGACCCCAGCGCAAAACUGCUUUUCCUUUAACCAAUUCUAAUUAAUCUUUUUAUAUUCAGCAGAGAACUUAGAAAAUUUAUAUCUUGAGUUAUAUUCAACCAAAUUUAGCCAAACCAAUUUUGUUAGAUUUAAAAUAUUAUGGACUAUCAAUUAAAAAUACUAAACUCCAUGCUUUCUGUUUUAAAUUUUAGAGUUUGAAAUUAAUUACAAAAACUUACAAAACCUUAUUAAAAUAAGAAAAAUUAGUUCUGCUUCUGUGCUGAACUUAAGAAAAUUUGUAGAUGUUCAAACCUCAUUUAGACACUGUUUAAAAAUACUAAACACCCCAGUAUUGAAGAUUUGAGCAGAGUUAUCUUUUAAAAGCCAUAUUUGUCCAAAACUUAAGAAAAUCAUAAAUGUAUUAGAAAAUAAUAAACAGUGAAUGUAAUUAUUUUUCCUAGUCUUCUAAGGUAAUAGAGAACCUAGGAAAAAUAAAGGGACCCCUAGUCCAGAGCAGAUUCUAGGUGAAAUGUUUUAUUAAGCAUUAAUAAAAUCAGAAAAACAAUUAUUAGAAUUAUGAAAACAAUUCCAAAAUUGCUAAUAAAAAUCCAGUGGACUUGUAACCACUAGAACCCCACUACAAAAAUGAUAAACACCCCAAUCCAUCAUUUUAAGUAGGGUAAACAAAUAGAACUUGAUAUUGAGCCAUAUUUCAAAUAAAUCAUAAGCAAGCCAAAAAGUGUGCAACAGUGAGCAAAUAAAUUUUUACCAGAUUAGUAAUGAAGUAGACCACCAGGGACAAAAUGCAAAACCCUGUUAAAAGCUACAAGUAAUACCCAUUGCCAAUACUUCAUGAAAAAGGCCAUUUAGUUCAAGAAUUUCCAACCACGUUUCCCUUAAGCAAAAAGUUACCAAACUUCAGAAUGAUUGCUCUUGCACAAAAAAGAAGAUAGGAAAAAUUAUAAAUCUGUUGUUUGAUAUUUUUCAAAUAUAGUGGUAGUAGAAAGCACCCCUUUGGCUAGGAACUUUGGAAAAUCAUAAUAAACUAAAUAAUAAGUAUUAGUGGCUGAACAUUUGUACAAAGUCAUGUUAUAACAGCUAGAUGUCAACAAAAAUAAGUCUUAGAGAAUAACUCACUGUAAAAAGGAGGUUGUAGUUCAAAACACCCCCCUCUGCCCUAAUAUUUGAUAAUUUUAUACAGAGAAGACCACUCACUUUUUAACCCCAAAUUUAGAGACAGAGACUUAUACACCAGUAAAAAGCCACUGUAAUUGUUGCAGAAUUUUUGGAAAUUUAUUGAGCUAGCUUGUAGUUCAAACCCACCUUAAAAGCAUAAAAGAAAUAAGAAGGAAGAGAGGGAAUAAUAAAUCUUACUCUAAUGAUUUAGCUAGAAAUCUUAAUAAACUCUCACAAAGACAUUAAAGGGAAAUCAGUAGAACACCAAAAUAAACUUACCAAUUAGCUUAACCAAGCUUGACCCUAAUUUGCUAAGUGUACCACAAGAAUCUUCAGUAGCAAGAUUAAGCUCUACCUUAUUUAAGUGGAUCAUUCACCAUCAAAGUUUAAUUGCUAAACUGCAUAUCAUAUCAUGCAUGUAUCUUACUCAUUGCAUUCAUUAGAUUGCAAUCUCGCUGACGGAGAGUACGUGCUCAUCCCCGAGCAAAGAGCUGUCCACGAGGAAGACCAGGAGCAAGCUCCUAAGACUGUCAUCGAGGAUCUCCCCGUAGCCCCCACUAUUGAAGGCAAGUCCCAGUUUAUGCAUAACCGUUUAUAUAUGCUACUUUACUACCCUUAAUGAUUGUAGGCUUGUAAUGUGCACUUAAGUGUAGGAGUUGCUUGAAACCUUUAGUUGCAUGAACUCAGGAUUCCUUUUUUGAGAUGGAUACUAAUAUGCUAGGUCGAGUAGCUGCUAUGCUAACUAGUAUCUCGGUAGAAGUCGAGUGAUUUUUCUAGCACUCGCGCGAGGUCAGGAAUUGAUUGUAUUCAUCUUGAUAACGGGAUCUAUGAUGGUCUCUGGACUUGGAUCCAGGGAGGAUGCCUUGUCCAUGAAACGGGAAAAGGAAUUAAGGAUUAAUGUGUGGAUACCUGAGUCAAGCGUUUGAACGUACUAAACAUAUGUCGGGAAAUAUGGUAACCGGUAAACCUAGUACCUAAGUGAAGCCGGGCGUGGACUUUUCCCCUCACUUGUCCAGAGACUAGGUCUCCCAUGCUAGCUAUGGUGGGUACAAGUGCGGUCAAUGCACGGCGGUAGCCGGGGUAAGUGGAGCAUUGUAUGCCAAGGCGGUGAGCCCUGGCCGUGAAUGGGGAAUCGAUGGGGACAGUUGACAUGUGUGGGGACGAAGUGCCCUGACAUGUCGUGUGUUUAGGUUUACCUUGCAAGGAUAAAAACUCGAUUCGAAUCAUCUGCUUCUCGCAGCUAAUGAGACUGCUUGACCCCUUGUACUACAUUGAGUAAGAAGUGAAAUGAGGUUUACAUGAGAUAACUUGUUGUUUGUACUAAAUGCUUGUUAUCAUGUAUGCUUAGAAGGAGCAAACUUAGCUAAGAUAAUGAUACUAGAAAUUGAAAAGCUAAAAGUUGAUUUUAGACUCAGCUAGUGCUUUUGGGAAACCAAACCCCUCAACCAAACAGCUGCAUGGUCUAGAGGUCGAGGAGUAGUUUCCUCACACUGGGUAAGUCUAGCUGAGUAUUAGUAUACUUAGUCUUGCUUGUGGCAUAAUUUUGCAGGUAUGCUUCAGGAUAUGGUUGAUGGUGUUACUUGGCCUACCACCCUGCCAUCGGGUUGGACGGUCUAGUGGGAUGCUGCUCCGGCAGGAGAGGAGCCAGAGGAGUAGUAGGCUAGGCCUUGCCCAAUUCCUCGCUAUCGACGAUAUCGAUUAUCCACUGCAUCUUAUUUUAUGAACUUAUAUCCACUACUUGAAAAACUC